Molecule: transfer RNA, 90 nt
Filed under: Deltaproteobacteria bacterium
Lineage: Bacteria; Pseudomonadati; Myxococcota; Myxococcia
Description: tRNA-Ser
Rfam family: tRNA
About the family: Transfer RNA (tRNA) molecules are approximately 80 nucleotides in length. Their secondary structure includes four short double-helical elements and three loops (D, anti-codon, and T loops).
Source: RNAcentral
GGAGAGAUGGCCGAGAGGCUGAAGGCGUCGGUUUGCUAAACCGAUGUAGGGCCUAAAACUCUACCGAGGGUUCGAAUCCCUCUCUCUCCG